Molecule: long non-coding RNA, 537 nt
Filed under: Mus musculus (house mouse)
Lineage: Eukaryota; Metazoa; Chordata; Mammalia; Rodentia; Muridae
Description: SIX homeobox 3, opposite strand 1
Source: RNAcentral
AGCUCUGAGCGCGACCCUACCCGGCUCGGGCCCGCAGCAACCCCGACUGUCCGAGAGCCUCUCCCCAAGCAAGGCUCUGCGCCGCCCUCUGAGCCCACCUCCUGGCCACAACGCUGCCUGCGCUUCUCCAGCCCAGGCCGGAAGCCCUAUGCUGCCUCCCGAAGCCGUUGGAACUCAAGGUCCCCUUUCACUCCCUUCUUGAGUACCCCUAGCACUUGCUGGGUUGGUGGAGCAGGGAACUCUCGGUUCUCCACUCAGGACUUUCUGGAAGCCCAUCUUCGUAUGCUCACCAGCCCACCCUCCUACGCUGGUCAGAGUGAGAUUGCUAACCUCAAGACCCCAUUCAAUGCCAGCUUUCAACUACUGCUGAAGACCAAUGUAGGUCCUGGAAUAGAAGAACUGCAGAGUAUGCAGACAAAAGCUACCAUGUCCGCUUGGAGUGACGCCCAGACACGCACAGAGAUGUACAGGAAGCCAAGGAGAGUGGGAUCCACCAGAGUACAGUACAAGUACAGAGUACAGUGCAAGAUGCCCAGU